AGGGAAAAGCUCAAAUUUUGAAUCUGGUGUCCUCGGCGCCAGAGUUGUAAUCUAGAGAAGUGUUUUCUGUGUCGGACCAUGCACAAGUCCCCUGGAAUGGGGUGUCAUAGAGGGUGAGAAUCCCGUUCAUGGCAUGGAUCCCGAUGCUCUGUGAUACACUCUCAAC
RNAcentral lists this ribosomal RNA (166 nucleotides) under Sebacinaceae sp. Its description in RNAcentral is "partial large subunit ribosomal RNA". It matches the Rfam family "Eukaryotic large subunit ribosomal RNA", at positions 99 to 261 of the family's 3401-position model. The record is from RNAcentral. Lineage: Eukaryota; Fungi; Basidiomycota; Agaricomycetes; Sebacinales; Sebacinaceae.